GCUAGGGGGGUCCGGGGGCAUGCCCCCCCGGAAAAUUUUUGAAAUUUGAAGCCCGGAAAUGCCAUUUCCUGCGUUCUGAGCACUGCAUGUGACCAUUAAAUUUGUCCUCAUUGUAUUCAUUUCUCUAGCAAAAAUAAGCCGAAAUGAUCUCAAAAUGUAAACUAUUGCUCGCGUAUAUUUUAACAUACGAUAUCGGUAUGAUACUCGUAUCAUACGCAUUCAUUAUCAAUUGAAUACCGAAAUGCGCGUAUCAUCUACGAACGCGUGUAUCAUACGAAUACGCAUAUCAUAUGAACCCGCGUAUGAUAUGAAUACGCGUAUCUUACGAAUAUAUACGCAUUACAAACAAAUAUUAGCGCGCUAUAAAACACGAUAUAUAUACGCGCGUAUCAUAAUUCGCGUAUUAAUUCCAAUACAUGCAGGUAUACUGUACAUACGCGCACAAACACUUUAAUAAAGCGAAGUUAAUAGCGAACACUAUACAGUAAAAACUCAAAUUAAAAUAUAAUGUGCAUCUCUUAUCAUUCAUAACGCUUACCUGACUGGAAAUGAUUCGUUUUACUAUCUGAUUUUAUUUCUACCUCGACGCAUAUAAAUCCUUUACGACGGCUUUCAUUUCGAAAUGCGCACAACCGUACUGUGGUCUGUGGGUUCCCAAUAGCAUGUUGUUGAUGAGCGCAACACAAAUAUCAGAUAUUCCAUCGUUCUGGAGCAGCAGCCAAUUUCAUGCCACCGUAGCAAACUAUAGCAUUUGCCCCAUUCCGAUUGGUUUGCUACGUUUGACCGUAGCAAACCAAUCAGAAUGCCGUAUAUGCCAAUUUUCGCUACGGUCAGAUUCGACCUUAAUGAAUCUGACCGUAGCGAAAAUUGAUCAUAUAUGGGCAACACGCUACGGUGUAUUUCUGAA
This is a non-coding RNA of Paramuricea clavata, 907 nucleotides long. Lineage: Eukaryota; Metazoa; Cnidaria; Anthozoa; Malacalcyonacea; Plexauridae. The record is from the annotation of a GenBank genome assembly.